Molecule: ribosomal RNA, 301 nt
Filed under: uncultured bacterium
Lineage: Bacteria
Description: partial 16S ribosomal RNA
Rfam family: Bacterial small subunit ribosomal RNA
Source: RNAcentral
CAGUAGCCACGGUAAUACGAGGGGGGCAAGCGUUGUUCGGAGUUAUUGGGCGUAAAGGGUGCGUAGGCGGUUCAGCAAGUCUCGUGUGAAAUCUUCGGGCUCAACCCGAAGUCUGCACGGGAAACUACUGGGCUUGAGUAAUGGAGAGGUGAGUGGAAUUUCCGGUGUAGCGGUGAAAUGCGUAGAUAUCGGAAGGAACACCUGUGGCGAAAGCGGCUCACUGGACAUUUACUGACGCUGAUGCACGAAAGCUAGGGGAGCAAACAGGAUUAGAUACCCCAGUAGUCCCUGUCUCUUAUAC